RNAcentral lists this long non-coding RNA (1471 nucleotides) under Rattus norvegicus (Norway rat). Its description in RNAcentral is "long non-coding RNA NONRATT019247". The record is from RNAcentral. Lineage: Eukaryota; Metazoa; Chordata; Mammalia; Rodentia; Muridae.
UUUUUUCAUGAUUCAUUCAAAGAGCACCAAUUCUAUGCAACAAUGAGACUCUACUCAUUCAAUGGUUAAAAUAUUUUCUCUGAACAUCAUUUUAAGAUGGUGGGGUUCCAUAUGCUUUUUCUUGUCCAGUUACUGUUCAUAGUUUGAAGACUUAAAAACAGCAUGGAUUCAAAUAAUACUUGUCUCUCUGCUUGGUUGGAGGCUAUUUCUUGACUUAUUUCAGUCACUCAGAGGCGCUUUUUUUGCCCCUUUUUUAAUGCUGGAGAGUUUGAAACCAAGUCCUCAUAUAUGUUAAGCAUGCACUCUAGUACCAAGCUACUCCCACAGCCUUAAGAAAUAUUGGUAACCAACUGGAAUUUCCAGGUACUAUGUUAUAUUCUGAAAAUGGGAGGUAAUAUUGCUAUAGUCCCUGUUCUUAUAGGGCUCACAGUGUCAAGUGAUUUUAGUGAGAUGAGGUCUCGAGUUUAUGUCCUAACUAGAAUAAAUUUGCCUUUUUUUUUUCAUCAUUUAAAACAGUGUUUCUCAACCUGUAGAUCGUGACCCCUUUGGGGAGGGGUUGCCUAAACUAAGACCAUAGGAAUUUUUUGUUUACAUUAUGAUUUAUUUACAUUAUAAUUCAUAAUAGUAGCAAAAAUGAUGAAAUGAUGAAAAUAAUUUUGUUGUUGGGGUCAGUACAGCAUAAGGAACUGUAUUAAACGAUCACAGUAUUAGGAAGGUUGAGAACCACUGACUUAAAGUCGGCUUUCUUAGGGUUUUUUGUUAGUAAAAUUUUUGGUUCUAUUUGCAAGUGCAAACCACUUAACUAAUUUGUGAUCUCCAGUUCUUGGCUGGAGAGGCCUUAUUUUUGGUGAUAUAUUUAAUUUUGGUGGACUUGGGUUCUUUGCUUACAUGUUUCCCAGAUUUUAAAGCAAAGAGAAAGCACAAAUGUUUUAUUGUGGAAGAAGAAGGCUUUCUAACACUAGUGAUUAUAUGGAGCAGGGGUGAACCUUAGCUACUCGGCAUUUGGUUUGGUUUGGUUCUUUUCCUUUUCCUUUUCCUUUUCCCUUUUUUUUGAGGCAGGAUCUUACUAUGUAGCCUUUGCUGCCUCUGCUCCCCGGGCCUGGGAUCAAAGGUAUGUGCCACCAUACCAGUGUGUUAUAAGGAUUCCUAGGAAAACUUCAAAAGGAAGCUAUUGUAGCUUGUUUUUUUUUUUAAUUACUGUUAUUUAUUUAUUAUGUUAUUUAAUUAUGAAAACAAGCUCCAAACUGAAGUGGCUCUGAGGUAAAUCAGGUGUGAUUUUUGCAUUAGUUUAGAAAAUAUGUAAGUGAAAGGUGACUAAUGUUACCAUUUCUAAAAUAUUGUCCUAAACAAACAACUUAGAACAUUUUAUUUCAGCUCAUGAAUGGCUGUUCUAAAUCUGUUGUAUGUUAGACAUACUCUGAACUACCUCUUUACUUAAUGGGGAAGUUUCCUUAAUAAAAGUUUGACAAUU